AGGACUGGGCCAAGCUGCAGGCUGGGUGUGAGUGGUGGGAGGGCGCAGGGGGCAUCCCGGUGUCUCAUCGUCCCCCUGAAAGAUUUUUGUCCCAUUCUUUGCAGAAUCAAAGUGCCAAACCUUGAAAGUCACAGUUUUAUUGUAGGCUCCCAGAGCAAAUGAGCUCGGCAGGAGGUUUGCAGGGCGAGUGUUACAGAGGGGCUCUUGGCUUUGGCUGGGCAGUGUACAAGACUUGGUUGCUUUGAGCUGGAAAUGGGCAAAACUUUGCUUUUCUGCCCUUCUGGGGCUGGCCUGGCUGUGCUGGGCUGGGACAAGGGCUCCUACCUCUCACGUUGGUUUCUGCCAGCAAAUUCUCAGCUUUUUUCAGUGACGUUCAACAAGGGACAAACCAACAGGCUGCAGGAACAGGAGGCUGGCUUGGGAAGGAAGGAGCAGGUGAGCGACUUGCCUCGCUGUCAGCUCUGCUGAUGCUCAGCGUGCCUGGGGGUUGUGUGCCUGGCUUCCUCACCCCGAAGAAGCAUUUACAGGAGGAUUUUGUGCUCGGCUCAGAGGAAACCCUCCUAAGGACAGUGUGAUUGGAAAGGAGUCAGGAGGCCAGUGGGCGAUGCAUCAUCCCCAUGACUUAUUCCUCCCCCAGAGUUUCUCUAAAGUUUCCUGCCAGAGCUCAUGCGCCCCGAGGAGCUUUUUCUUUCUUCGUACCUUCACCCCUUCGUAGCUACUUGGGCAGGUGUCCUGGGGCUUUUUGUGCCUGGGGAUGGAGCUUGGCCGCUUGGUGCUUGCAUCCCCGCAGGGCCCAGCUGGAUUAAACCACGAGGGGGGCACAUUUCCCUUUUGCCGCCCUGCUGCGAGGAGUAGCUGCCAGCCCAAGGCCAGUAACAAGCACUCGGAGGGCAGAAACUCGCAGGCGAGGAGAGGAAGGUACAAGAAAACUGCACAAUCAAAGGCACCAGGAGUUUUUGGCCUGGCAGCAUCAGCCCCUCCACAUGCAGGGCUGCAGGGGGGGAAUAAUCCAGGCUCUUGUCUCCGUGUGAAGGCAAAUGCCUCGUCGCUCCUGGCAGGUUUUGUCUGCAGACACUGGCUUGAGUACCCCGUAAUUACGUCUUCGCGUUGUUUAAUAUAGCAACACGGAGCCGGGCUUGUGGUAGAGAGCCAAGCGAUGCCUUUGGGCCGUGAGGACUAUAAAUACCCUAAGGGAUCAUUUUAUUUGGUCGUGGAAGGAAGAAGCUUCUUUCUUCAGCAGUUGCUGUACAAACACAGCUUCGGAGCAAAUAAAGGAGGGUUCUUAUUUCCAUACGUUAGGGAGAUACCCGGGGAUCCAGCAAAAACGCCCGAAAGACAAAAAAAAAAAAAAAAGCCUCGAAUUACAUUUCUCUACAGAAGGCCUUCGCGCACUGUCAAGCUGUCCAAAUUACAGCUUUGUUUUCAUUUUAGUUGUGGCAAUUAUUGUGCUUUGGUUAAAAAUACCACUCGGUGUCAAUUUUAAGCCCUUGGUAGCAAGGACCGGCUUAAAAUAACCGCGGGUGCAGCGCCAGGCACCAUAGGGCCUCGGCUGUGCUGGAGGCCUGGAGGCACGACUGCCGUAGCCACAGCCAGGGCCUGCUUUGUGUAACGAGAUGCAGCUCCUCCGCCCGAGAUCCUGCCACUACGAGCCUCGAAAGCCACGAUUCCUCCUCACCCUCUGCAGCUGGCUCCUUGGCUUGGUGGCGUGAGUGGUUUUGGAUGGUGCCCGGGCUGCCCCAUGCCCUGCGUGGUGCUCGGCUUUGGGGUAGAGUUCCUGUGCCCUGGCGUCGGGGCCGGGUGCUGGUUCUGCCACGAGCAGUUUGUGGAACUUGAACGCAGCUUUUCUGGCCAUAAAGGAAGAUGCUUGGAGGGAUUACAAAGGUUUUUUGGGCAUCUGCAGAGGUUACGAACCAGAGAGAGCUUCCUUGGAGCAGGACGCCUGGCGUGUCUACGGAUUUGUUAGUACAUGUGACAAAACUAAACCCAGUGGGGCCAUUCCUACCCCCUUUUUGUGGAUACAAAAUGCGACCAAAGUGAGCUCCGACCCUGAUAACCCAGCAGGUGAGAAGCAGUUCCUGCAGCCUUCCUUUUUUCCCGUUGGAGAACGUUUCCUCCUGCACGUGCUGCAGUUCUUCGCGCAGCAGAGAGCCCGACCCAGCGGCUCCAUUCCCGCAGGGAAGGCGCUGCUCCUACAACGGCAUUGCUACAAAAAGCUACAACUGCACGAUUAACCUCAAAUAAUGGCACUGCCAGAUCGUUCCUAAUAUUUUUUUUUUUCAGAUAGGUGCAGCAGUGUGAUGGAUCUGAUUGGGUGUACGUUUCGCUGCGGCACCUUCACAGCGGCGGCGUCCGUCACGAAGGACAACGUCGGACGAAGCAGCGGGGCGCUCCCUCGGUCGCGAUGGGGCAGGGCUGGAAAAAGCUCCCAUUGUUUCCACGGCCAUAUCGACCGCAGCCUGCACAAGGCCCUCUUGAUGAAGCGACCUGGCAGCGGAACAGCAAGUUCUUGUUAACCAUACACGCCAAAAGGCCCUAACACAAACAAUCCCCAUUAUAAAUUAGGCCUUUUACAAACAAUAUUUCAAGAAACUACUUGUCCAUUUUCCAUGCCAUUAUGCAUUUUUAGGAUGAUUACAUGUUGCUGCUGGAUAAUGGCCUUUUGCCAAGGGCAAAAUGGGGUUUCAAUAGGACUCAUUAUGUAGUGAAAAGUUUUUCUAUUCCUACCCCCUGGAAGGAAAAAGCCACUCACAGAUAAAGCUCGUGAUAUAAUUGCGUUGCUUCAGAUAACCAGCGACAUGACUUCCCAAUUGAUAAGCGCUUGUUUUUAUCCUUCCUUAAUCUCACAGGCCUCUUGUUGUCUUUUAAUAGGAAGCGGUGGCAGCUGCGAAGGCCACUUGAUCAUUUGGCUCUGAGCAGAGUGCGAGGCUGCCCUGCUGAUAAAAGUCAGGACAGCUCCAGCCAUCGGGAUCACUGUUAGGGCAGAAAGUGCUGGCUGCAGGGGCAGGCUGUGCCAGGCAGCUUUGCAGAGCACUGCUAAGUGAUUACGUGCCAUCGCAAACCUUCCCCUUCUCCCAGUUUGUUAUAAUGAGCUACAUCCUGGCCCUCUCUUGAAUUAAGACCUGUUCAUGUCCGUGGGGGGACGUGAAAUGCUGGGCUUUCAAAAUCGGGAUGUCAGGGUUUGGUCCUGCAGGGGGCUGGAGGACAAUAGGAGGGGUCCAACCCUUGGAUGCUGGUGCAGAGUUCAGCGGUGGCUGCUGUCACGGAGCAGCUACACAGCAGCUUUAUGGCUGGGGUCCUGGCAAAAGCAGAAUUUUCCUUGGGAAAUAAAAAAAAAAAAAAAAAAAAAAAAAAAAAGUGGCUUAUAGCCUGAUCUGGGCUCAGUUUCCAGUCCUCUCUUGGACUCCAUGGUUUUGAUCAGUUGCUCACUGCUGUAGUUUCCCGCCUGAAAAAUUGAAAUAGAAACAAUUCCUUCCUUUUGGCCAACUCUUAGGAUCGUAGGAUCUUAAAAUAAAGACUCUGUCGUCUGUACAGAACAUCAGAAUCAACAGGCUUUCUCCGUCCCAGCUGAGCUAGUGAGAUCUGUUUCUCCGAUCUCUGGCUCGUGUGCCCAGCUUUGCUAGUAAGGAUGCCCAUCGCUCUCCAUUACACGCUGCCCCCGUCGUUACUGCAGGAAUUCCAUCAGAAGGGCACAAAGUGACUUGCUGGGAGAACAAAAGCCAUGAUUCUAAAAUCACUGCUUACUAAAAGCAGCUUUCGAGGUCCCUAACUGAGGUGAGGCAAAGCUGUGAGGAGCCAGGAGAUCUGAGGGCGGGGGUGGCUCUGGGGACGGCAGCUCCUGUCCGAGUUGAGCGUGGUUUGUGUAAGACGUGCAGGAGUGGGAAAGGAAAAAGGGGUCCUGGGAUUCGGGUAGCGAGAUGGAUCCUUGCUGCUGCCACUGUUUCCUUGUACAAGGUGGAUGCUUUUACCAUUUUUCAUCUGAAAGCCCUAAAGACGUGCCGGUGUUUUACUGGGUACUCCUCUGGGCUCUGUCUCCGUUGCUGGUGAGCUCAGUGCUCCACACUGUGUUAAUCAGAAAUGCUGUAAAAUGCAAAGUGCUGAAAUAUCACGCCAUGGAGGUGCAGUAUUUUUGACCUGUGGCGAUGUCCUCCCCGUUCCCUGCUCAAGAGGGGAAUAAUUCCACCUGCUUACACCUCAGAGGAGACACAGACGUGAAAAGCUCAGGUGGAAUUAGGGUGCUGGGUCAGAGAAAAAGAGGAAAAUGAUAGUUUGGAGGGUGGGCAGAUAGAGAAGUGCAAUACCCGAGCAAUUCUUGUGCAUUACAGGAGAAAAGGGAACGGGUCGGGCUGGGUUGUGCACCCGAGCAGACAAGGGAGUUGAAAGCUGGGUGUGGGAAGUCAGCUUUUAUUCUAUUUUACAAAAUAGAUGUGUUUUAUAUAAUAUAUAUUACAUAAAUAUGUGUAUGUUGGAAGUAUACAUUUACACAUAUUGAGGAUAAGAGAGAUAAAAACACACAUAAGCAGAAAGAAACGUGUGCCCAGUGGGGAUUAUGAAGGAUUAUGAAGGACUGUUCUCUCCUCGUUGUAGGUGCAGACAGACGGCACCAGGUGUGGGUAGUGCGAGGAGGGACGGACCCACGCAGGCACGGCAGCUCCUGCCUCCUCCUGCGGGCAGACUGAAGCUCCGAGUGCAGUUCAUCAACAGGAGUUCCUAAUGCUGAAUUCUUCAUCGCCUGAAGGCUGAGCUUCUGUGCAGAAUGGAUGUGGUCCUCUCACGCUUACGUGACACUUAUAUCUGUGCAAGAAUAUCCAAAAUACACCGUGAAUGGUCCCCCAACAGAAAGUGAGUGAUGAGUCCUUGAUGGUGUUGGACAAGAUGUUGCUUAGUAUAAGCCAUAAAGAACGCCUGUAAUGUCCUGACAACAUUGAGGUGAGUAUCUGGCUACAGGAGAUCAAGCUCAAAGACAGUGUGGGUGACUCUUAUCCCUAAAGGUAAGGCGGGGCAUCAUUUUUUAUCUGCUAACAACAGUAAUAACAUCUUUAUGUUGCUCCUUCAUCCCCAAACGCAGUCUGAGCUCAGCAGUGGUUCCCUCCCUUUGUUCUUCCCAUAGAGCAGAAGUUUCUGCAGCACAAUGCCCACUCUUUGCAGAAACAGAUGCUCAAGCUAUUUGUUUUUCUUCUUUUUGCUCGAAGUUAGAUGAAUAUAAUGUGCUCUUGUGUUGUAAAAGGUUGUUUUUGUGUCUCCCAGUCACGUUUCAGUAUCAGCAAAUAUUUUAGAUAUGAGUUAAGAGAGGUACCCCACUGACAGAAGAAGGCUGGCUGAGCUUGUAGUAUCACAUCGUAAAUUCCCUCUUCUGCUAUGAAAAUGUAAUAAAAUAUGUGGCACGGCAGAUUUACAGUGACAAUGCUGCUGCUGUGCUAAGGCAACUAUUUUAUCUCUUUGUUUUAAAGCAGCUUUUACUGUACUACACACAAUGAGUACUUCCUCCAAGAAACAAUGCCUACAAGCUCGAGAUUAAUAUAAAUAUGAUCUCAUGGUGACUCUUCAUUAACUUCUUACACCAUUAUCUUCCUGCUGCUAAUAAAUUUUAGGAGCUAAAUUUACAUGCAAAAGUUUUAUUUCAAGUAUCAUUAUUCUUAGCUUAUCGUCAGCCUGGUAGUGCCCCCACCCAGUUACAUCAUCCUUGGAAAAAUUGAGUGCAAUAUGUCUUUUAUAGGCUUACUGCACUAUUACAUUUGCAAGGCUGACCACACACGUGCAGUGAGCUUCCCAGCGAGCUGCAGCCCCGUCCCGCUGGGUGAUGCAGGUUGGCAGGGUCUUCCUUGCCUGAAGGGCUUUAUCAGCACAGGUUGAUUCUCUGUAGGGUUGUGGGGGCAUGCAUAAGGCAGGACACGCAGGUCUGUAGGUAACACGGCCCACGUCCCCAGGUAAAUCACUUCACCUGUUGUAUUUUCUGUCUCUAGGAGUUGUCUCUGGCUGUGUGCUUGCAGAAUGCCUUGUCCAGGUGCAUCUUACCUUCUCUCUUCCUUUUUUGUUGUUGGGUUCUGACUUGGAACAGGAAGGUUGAGAUGACAGCCUUUAAUAUUAACCAAACUUGAAGGCCUUUUCCCUCUUCCACUGUUAGAUUGUCACGGAGGUGUCAGAGCUUGUCUGGUGGUGCUGCUGAUCCCCGUUCAGCAAAGCAUUUAAGCAUCUGUGCGUGUCUGUUACAGUCUGUGGCCACUCAUCCUGCAAACUGCAGGGAGGUGUUACUGCAGGAGCGAGAAGGAAAGAGAGAUAUUACUCCUGAUUCUACUUGGGUAUUAUUGAACAAAUAAAACUCUGCGUAUUCUAGGCUGCUCACCCAAAUAUUCCUACAGAUCAUAAACUUUCAGAGGGCAGGUGGGGACAGCAGCUGUCAUUUUCUUUUCAUGUAUUACCUUGAUGCUAGAGAACCUUUUCCAGGGAUCUAUAGGCCAGAUAAAUAUAGAUCCUGCCAUGCUAGAUGCCAGCUACUGUGGUUUGGUUUGGUUUUAUGGUUAAACAGCAUAGCAACAUCUCUUAUGGGAGGUUUAAUGUGAAAUUCUACAUGCAGUUAAUUAGUAAUAAUUAAUAGCACAAGUAGGUAGGUGAGAACUUCACUACUGAAUCCAGGAGCAGGAAGGUUUCGUUGUGAUGCUGUUGCUGUUUUCAUACUUAGGGAGUGUGGAUAUAUUUCAUCCAGGUCACUUUUUCCAUGGACAAAAAGAUCUUUGGAAUUUUCUGUAGCAUGCUCAUUGGAUAUACAAAAGGUAACUUGCUGUAGAUUUUUCUGACUCUUCUUCUGUUAAGAAAAUAAAUUUUAAGGAAUCUAGGAUUUAAGGAAUUUAAGAUUUUUAAGGAAUCUCUUCUGUUGCUGUAACGAUUAAGGGAAUCAUAGAAUGGGUUGGGUUGGAAGAAGCCUUAAAGAUCAUCUAGCUCCAGUCCCCUGCUGUGGGCACAGAUGCCACCUACUACUUCAGGUUGCCAUAAUUCCCAUAUCCCAUGAUUCUUAUGAUGGACUUUAAUUUGUUAAUUCCUAUUUAUGUUGGUGCCUCAGUAUAAUGGCAGUGAUAAAAUUCAGGAGGCUUAUGGCUCCACGCUUCACAGAGACACAAGGGAAAUGAGCAGAUCUCAUGGAUCGUGUUUUUAAGUGCUCACCAGGAAUUUUUGCUUCUUUGUCCAGAGUACACUUAGGAACUGUCCAACUGCUCCCUCUCCAUGCCUCUAGCUCCAUGAUACAGCUGGGCUGUCAACGCCUAGAUAACUCCCAAAGACUAGAAGAUGGCUAAAGCCAAGCUAACCAUAUCCUGCUACUUUUCUUCUCUGCUGUUGAGCCGGCUGAAGAGGACUUUUUGGAAGAACAGCAAAGGAGUCUGCAGUAUUAACCUCAGAGGCUGUGAUCCCUAUAAUUCUUAGAUAAAGAUUCUCACAUGUUGUCAUGGGAAAAAAAGGCAGAGGAAACAGCAAUUGGAAGAGAGAAAAUUAGCUACACACAUCAGAAUCUUCAGAAAUUCUUGUCAGAUUAGAAAUACGUGUUGCGUUGACAGGCUUGUGAUCCUUCCUCAUUUUACAUGUUUGGGAACCUCCCAACGAGGGGUGAAGGGGAUCGCCAUGGAAUGAUGGGAGAAGAAGAUAAAAGCAGACAUGGAAAGUGCUUGCCUGCUCUGGAGAGCUUUCUACCCAGUAACACAGACAUGGCCUUGAGUAAUGAAAAGCCCGUCUCUUUCAGGAUUACAUCAAAACAGCUGCAACAGCUUGCAUUUCACCAUUUACAAAACAAUUUCUUCCUCGUUUUGAUGUAAAAGAAAAUUGGCAUUUUCAUUUCUUCAGUGGUUGCAGCACGUAAGAGACCAGUGGGAAGUAGUAGUUAUAAACGUGUCUGCCGGUUAGCCAAAGCCUGUCACUACGUUUGAAGGACUUAGAGGGAGAUACAGAAGAAUGUGAAUGAAAAUCAAAGAGUCAAAAUGGCUCCCGCUGUAACUGCGGGUCACCAGGAGAGGCUCGGCCAGCCCCUGGGUUAGGAUUAACACGUGCACCCACCCAUAUGGACAAUUCCAGCCCAUGAACUGUUUUUAGUAUGGUCUGAAGGAAAUUUCAGUAUUGUGUGCUAAGUCAUCCGACAUUUUUUCCCAAACAGCAGAAUUUCCUCUCUUCUUCUGGAGAACUUUGCAUUUGCAGGGGAGCGUGUUUACAGUGGAUUCCCACAUCAGAAGCGGUGACAUCAGUGAUUCCUCUUGCAAUUUCCCAUCAGUGCCCCAGGGACAGGGCUGGCCUUCCUUUGGUAGCACGCGCUGAGGUCUGGGGACAGCAGGUGCUGUCAUACGCCCAAGUGCUUGCACGCCGGGGCGUUAAAGCCAGGUCAGGAAGCAGAUUCGUCCUCCUUCCACAUCCAUUCCUCAGGCGUGACCCCAGGAAACACCCAACUGAGGUUGUUGGAGGAUUCGCCCAGGUGAUGGCAUCAUUAAUAGCACCCACGAUGAAAGCAGAGCGUCACCCCCCGUGACUGUGUGGAGCACUGCACGAUAGCUGGGAUGUCUGUAAAAUCCGUACGAAAUUAACUACAGCUGCACAAUAGUCGAUCUCUCUUCAGCCUGUGUUGCGUCCCGGGAAGCUUAGCCAAGCAAGAGGGAACUUCUUGGUGGGGUGAGUGGCUCCACAUGGCUGAGCACCGCAGUGUCCUGCAACCACGUCCCAUGCAACCACCUCCCUGGGAGAGGAGGGAGCAGCCCCCUGCGAUGUUUGCCUCCCCACGAGCAGGACUGGGGGCUCUCACUUCCACGGCAAUGCGUGGCAGAGUCUGUUUGUUUAGUUCUCCUGCGAGGCAGUGGUAAUGUACAUCCAGGAGAAUAUAAUUGCUUUCCUCUUUGUCCUGAAGCUGUAAACUAUUUUCAGUUGUAUUAAAAAAACACAGCGUAGGAACAAAACAUGUUUGAGAAUUAUAACUGCCAUAGCCUCAAGGUUUUCCUGAUUUUUCUCCUCUGAAGAGCUUGGUCCUGCCACGUGCAGGAAUGUCUUCAUCGCAUCGUGUCCUGUACAGCAGCAUGGGAUCAGCUGGGGGACCACGGGGGAAAGGACUGCAGAGGCUGCUUUGGCUGCAGUAGGGUCAGUGAGGCAGCAGCUCCUUCGGACAGUUCAAGGGCACCCUUGUGAUUUGGAUGUGCUCGGCAAGCUGUACAUCAUUAUGGAGCCAUUAGGGCCGUGGCUUGGCAGCAGCUGUGACAUUAAAAUGUAUAAGAUGUUACCAAAGGAAGCACUUGGCAAAAUGUUUUUGGCUUCCCUAGACAUAAACAACAAAUUUUCUCUACAAUGGUAAGUUAUGACUGGGGGUGAGUCACUAAUAUAUUUAGAAGGAUGUCCUCUCCAGAGACCACAACUGGCUAAAUUAAGCCAAGACCGGGUAACCCUCGUGGUUGAGGGGCACAGUGGGGAAUUCCCAGAUGGUUUCCUGAGAUCUGCCCGUUACACACCGCUGCCAUUCCACGUGAGAACUCUGCAGGAGCUCUCUGAAUCUGUGCAGGACAGACCUUCCAGUGCUAGAAAUAGGCAUCAGCAGGCAUACUAGUGCGGGAUGUCUUAGUCUUGUGGAUUCCUGGUAGCUUCAGGGAUGUGCCCGUCGUCAAACUCAAAGGGCAGUCUGAGCAUCCUGUGGCUAUCUGGAGAUAAAAUGUAUUUUUGUGUCUGAAAAGCCAUUUCUGAAAGUUUGAUUUCCACUUUUGGGUUAACUUAGUGCUCAGGAGCUUUUAUAGCCCAGGCUGUAAGAUAAGUUCUUUAUGUUACACCUUGCCUUCAACGAGAAAGUGUGGUGAAGAUGUAGUGUCAUGGUCAGUUCAGAAGAAUCCACAGAAACGAUCUGCAGCUUGAUGUGUAUCUUCAUUCCUGGGCAAUGUAGUAACAGCUUAGCUUGUACAGCUGAUUUAACAAAAAUAUUUAUUUCAGUGAAAUUAAUUCCAGCUCACUUUUAGUUUCUUCUUUUAGAAUUUUUCCUUCUUCCUUCAUUUGGCUCUUGAUGAGGUGAGAGCUGCAGUGAUGGCAUGCAGAAACUCUUGUUUGCCAUAACAUCGUUCUGACAAUGCAGGCUUAUGAGGAGGACCAUAAGGCUGCAUGUGGCCAUAUGCACUGACACACCAACACCACGAUGUCGAAAUUCAAGUGGAAAGGACUUCACAUCUGCCUGGUAAUGCAACAAAGCAAUAUGAACAUUUUCAUAAAACAUUCUGAAACAGUUUGGUUUGGCUCGCCAUUCAGAUACUCAAGCCAAAGAGACUGUCCUGAGAGUGGUGUGAGUAUAGAAGCAAUACAGAGCAGUAAAUGAGGUUGCAGGAUGUGCAGGGCCAUUUUAAGAAGGCAGUUAAUGGGGCAGAGCUUUGUAAAAUCCCUUGGUUUUCUGCCUGUGCCCACAUACCUGAAAAAACAUAAGAAUCCCCAGCACACAAUUGUUGUACAGUUUGGGGACAUUGUUUUCAUCCUGAUGCUCCCUAAGAAGAUCACAAGAAGAAUGACCUUUACUUGAUUUUUUUUUCCUAUUUAUUUGAUGAUUUUCUCGAUUAUCCAAAGUUUAGGAAUAGAUGCUUGCCAAGUACUGCAAGAUGGUCAAAGAGUGAACUUAAUUCAUCUGUCCAUCACGAAAGACAUCAGCAGGGAUUUUUAACCCAGCAGCAGAAGAAAUACCAUGAACUGGUAGGUGGGAACCUCAAGGUGACCCUUUCUGAACAUCAAAACUUAAACAAGUAUCAACACUGAAUAAUGAAACAUUGCUGCAUUCUACCCCUACCUCAACCACAGCUGAGUGGGGUACAAGCAGGAACUGGAAGUUGGAAUCCCACUGCCAUUGGGACAGAAGUUGAAUCUGACUGGUUUUAACAAUUCCUUCAACCCUCGAUACUUUUUAUUGCAGCUGGACUUGCCAGACUGAGCCUGUUGGGGUCCUGGGUUACUGUCUGUGUAUGCCUGGACAGAUUUUUAUUUGCAUGCUAGUUUGGGAAAUGGUUGUCCUUUGUAUGUGUACUUGUAUUUACAUGUGAACAAGAGUAUUUGUUCUUCA
Molecule: non-coding RNA, 11038 nt
Organism: Anas platyrhynchos (mallard)
Lineage: Eukaryota; Metazoa; Chordata; Aves; Anseriformes; Anatidae
Source: RefSeq, a predicted model, not a curated record